This 350-nucleotide ribosomal RNA is filed under the name uncultured bacterium. RNAcentral's name for it is "partial 16S ribosomal RNA". It matches the Rfam family "Bacterial small subunit ribosomal RNA", at positions 338 to 704 of the family's 1533-position model. The record is from RNAcentral.
CCUACGGUGGGCAGCAGUGGGGGAUAUUGCACAAUGGGGGGAACCCUGAUGCAGCGACGCCGCGUGGGUGAAGGAGUGCUUCGGCAUGUAAAGCCCUAUCGGCAGGGAAGAAGCAAGACGGUACCUGACUAAGAAGCCACGGCUAACUAGGUGCCAGCAGCCGCGGUAAUACGUAGGGGGCGAGCGUUAUCCGGAUUCACUGGGUGGAAAGGGAGCGUAGACGGCCAAGCAAGCCAGGGGUGGAAGCCCGGGGCCCAACCCCGGGGCUGCCCUUGGAACUGCAUGGCUGGAGUGCGGGGGGGGCAGGCGGAAUUCCUGGUGUAGCGGUGAAAUGCGUAGAUAUCAGGAGG